Long non-coding RNA from Zootermopsis nevadensis, 695 nucleotides. RefSeq lists it as uncharacterized. Lineage: Eukaryota; Metazoa; Arthropoda; Insecta; Blattodea; Termopsidae. The record is from RefSeq and is a predicted model, not a curated record.
CCUACUGCGCACGAAUUUUGAAAUUCAAGAAAGGAUGGUCGGAAGUUAACGGAAUUUCGUAUGGACGUCAUGCCACAGAGCAACGAACUCUGCUGGAAGCUGCAAUGAAUCAAAUUAACAAACAUCGCUGGUAAGUUCCUUAAUGCAUAACUUCAGUGACGAGAGAUGUCGUGCGCAUCGCAUCGCAUCAGUCAGUAUUGAUUUUAUCAUGGAGCAUUGACAUGUUCGGCAGUGAAUGGCUGCAAAACACUUUCGCUUGGAAUUAUAGGAUGUAGGUUUGGACAUUACAAGUCAGAGUGUUGUUCAAAACAAUUCAUCAGCAACCUGAAGAAUAACAACCUUGCCUACGAGUGGAAAGUACAGUGUUCUUCCUACAGCGAAGACAAGUAAACAUGUUCUAAUGACGUAAGCAAAAUGGAGUAAAGUAAAUUUUCCAUACGAGGUUUGAUAUCAGUGUAACCGUUACUUAAUGGGAAAAACCGAUAGAAUGACGUGAAAUGCCCGUCGACACACCAUGAGACCUGAGAAGAGACAUGUGUCUGUAUAAGUAAUACGUAAUAAACAUCCGGAUUUCACGAAUAAGCAGCACCUGGACGUGUGUAAAGUCGAUGUAAAUAUUUUAAUUUUGGUGAUGAAGCUAGAGGUGGUUGUAAUAUCUACAUCGUGUGAAAAUAAAAGCAUUUGAAAUAUUUUAA